AACAGCAGGAGGAACAGUAGGAGGAGGAGGAGGAGGAGGAGGAGGAGGAGGAGGAGGAUAGAGUUCAUUUCCAACACUUCUCUGGGAAUUUAAAUCGUCCCAAAUUCGAGAGAUUUGAAAUUGACUGACUUUUGGAUCGGGGCCCUGAUCACAGGAGGUCCAGGAUGAAUAAGCUACGGCAGAGUUUCCGGCGGAAGAAAGACGUGUACGUUCCUGAGUCCAGCCGACCGCACCAGUGGCAGACGGACGAGGGGUCGGUCCGCAGGGGAAAGUGUAGCUUCGCAGUCAAGGAACGUUUUUCAUCCAAAAAUGAAAUACUGCCCCCAGAGGUUCAAGAGGUUAAUGGGAUACUUCACACAUUGGUUUCAUUACCCUGUCAGCAGUUACUGGACAAGGUAUGACAGCAAUCCAUGCAUUGGUUUUAUUGUCCACUGUUUCAAUUGGUUACUUUUUAUUAUUUGUGGCACAAAUCCAAUGCAUGUCAUUGGUAUCUUAUAUUAGCAUCACAAGUCAAUCAGCCUGACCUAUCUAACAAUGGAUCAUAUGACUCAGUGGAGUGUGUGUUUAACUGGAGUGGAGUGGUGUGUGUUUAACUGGAGUGGAGUGGUGUGUGUUUAACUGGACUGGAGUGGUGUGUGU
Oncorhynchus gorbuscha (pink salmon) is the source of this 639-nucleotide long non-coding RNA. RefSeq lists it as uncharacterized. The record is from RefSeq and is a predicted model, not a curated record. The transcript has 3 exons. NCBI's taxonomy places the organism in Eukaryota, Metazoa, Chordata, Actinopteri, Salmoniformes, Salmonidae.